CUCAAGUAAUGCAUAAAACAUUAUAUCACAUCAUAAUCAACAACAACACAUCUUAAACAGCUUCACAUAUUAUAAUUAACCUCUUCAUUAAGUCUUAAUGCUACCCAAAGGUUUAAUCCUCAACAACUCGUGCAACAAAGGUCGCAAAACUAACAAGUCACUCUGUUUUCUGGGUCACUCGCGAGGCGAGAGCCUCUGCUCGCCGUGGCGAGUUCAGGUC
RNAcentral lists this long non-coding RNA (220 nucleotides) under Medicago truncatula (barrel medic). RNAcentral's name for it is "long non-coding RNA (MTRU_LNC003232)". Lineage: Eukaryota; Viridiplantae; Streptophyta; Magnoliopsida; Fabales; Fabaceae. The record is from RNAcentral.